RNAcentral lists this ribosomal RNA (393 nucleotides) under uncultured bacterium. Its description in RNAcentral is "partial 16S ribosomal RNA". It matches the Rfam family "Bacterial small subunit ribosomal RNA", at positions 523 to 918 of the family's 1533-position model. The record is from RNAcentral.
AUACGGAGGAUGCGAGCGUUAUCCGGAUUUAUUGGGUUUAAAGGGAGCGUAGGUGGGAUAUUAAGUCAGCUGUGAAAGUUUGGGGCUCAACCUUAAAAUUGCAGUUGAUACUGGUUUCCUUGAGUACGGUAUAGGUGGGCGGAGUUCGUGGUGUAGCGGUGAAAUGCUUAGAUAUCACGAAGAACUCCGAUCGCGAAGGCAGCUCACCGGGCCGGAACUGACACUGAUGCUCGAAAGUGCGGGUAUCAAACAGGAUUAGAUACCCUGGUAGUCCGCACAGUAAACGAUGAAUACUCGCUGUUUGCGAUACACUGUAAGCGGCCAAGCGAAAGCGUUAAGUAUUCCACCUGGGGAGUACGCCGGCAACGGUGAAACUCAAAGGAAUUGACGGGG